RNAcentral lists this transfer RNA (65 nucleotides) under Decemunciger sp. AB-2017. Its description in RNAcentral is "tRNA-His". The record is from RNAcentral. Lineage: Eukaryota; Metazoa; Annelida; Polychaeta; Terebellida; Ampharetidae.
GCAUUAAUAGUUUAAAAGAAUGUAGAUUUGUGGUAUCUAAGGUAUAAAUUUAUUUAUUUUCUGCC